This 925-nucleotide ribosomal RNA is filed under the name Klebsiella aerogenes. Its description in RNAcentral is "bacterial SSU rRNA". It matches the Rfam family "Bacterial small subunit ribosomal RNA", at positions 56 to 972 of the family's 1533-position model. The record is from RNAcentral. Lineage: Bacteria; Pseudomonadati; Pseudomonadota; Gammaproteobacteria; Enterobacterales; Enterobacteriaceae.
UGCAAGUCGAGCGGUAGCACAGAGAGCUUGCUCUCGGGUGACGAGCGGCGGACGGGUGAGUAAUGUCUGGGAAACUGCCUGAUGGAGGGGGAUAACUACUGGAAACGGUAGCUAAUACCGCAUAACGUCGCAAGACCAAAGUGGGGGACCUUCGGGCCUCAUGCCAUCAGAUGUGCCCAGAUGGGAUUAGCUAGUAGGUGGGGUAAUGGCUCACCUAGGCGACGAUCCCUAGCUGGUCUGAGAGGAUGACCAGCCACACUGGAACUGAGACACGGUCCAGACUCCUACGGGAGGCAGCAGUGGGGAAUAUUGCACAAUGGGCGCAAGCCUGAUGCAGCCAUGCCGCGUGUAUGAAGAAGGCCUUCGGGUUGUAAAGUACUUUCAGCGAGGAGGAAGGCAUUAAGGUUAAUAACCUUGGUGAUUGACGUUACUCGCAGAAGAAGCACCGGCUAACUCCGUGCCAGCAGCCGCGGUAAUACGGAGGGUGCAAGCGUUAAUCGGAANNACUGGGCUUAAAGCGCACGCAGGCGGUCUGUCAAGUCGGAUGUGNNAUCCCCGGGCUCAACCUGGGAACUGCAUUCGAAACUGGCAGGCUAGAGUCAAGUANNGGGGGGUAGAAUUCCAGGUGUAGCGGUGAAAUGCGUACACCUCUGGAGGAAUACCGGUGGCGAAGGCGGCCCCCUGGACAAAGACUGACGCUCAGGCCCGAAAGCCCCGGGAGCAAACAGGAUUAGAUACCCUGGUAGUCCACGCCGUAAACGAUGUCUUCUUGGAGGUUGUGCCCUUGAGGCGUGGCUUCCGGAGCUCCCGCGUUAAGUCGACCGCCUGGGGAGUACGGCCGCAAGGUUAAAACUCAAUCGAAUUGACGGGGGCCCGCACNNUCGGUGGAGCAUGUGGUUUAAUUCGAUGCAACGCGAAGAACCUU